This 630-nucleotide ribosomal RNA is filed under the name uncultured bacterium A32. Its description in RNAcentral is "bacterial SSU rRNA". It matches the Rfam family "Bacterial small subunit ribosomal RNA", at positions 54 to 692 of the family's 1533-position model. The record is from RNAcentral. Lineage: Bacteria; Bacillati; Bacillota; Clostridia; Eubacteriales.
CAUGCAAGUCGAGCGCGAUUAGUUGGACUGGAGGCUUCGGCCAAAGGGAAGACUAUGAAAGCGGUGGACGGGUGAGUAACGCGUGAGCAACCUGCCCUGUACAGGGGGAUAGCCACUGGAAACGGUGAUUAAUACCCCAUAACCCCAAAAGAUCGCAUGAUCUAAUGGGCAAAGUCCUAACGGUACAGGAUGGGCUCGCGUCUGAUUAGCUAGUUGGUGAAGUAAUGGCUCACCAAGGCGACGAUCAGUAGCCGACCUGAGAGGGUGAACGGCCACACUGGAACUGAGACACGGUCCAGACUCCUACGGGAGGCAGCAGUGGGGAAUAUUGCACAAUGGGCGCAAGCCUGAUGCAGCAACGCCGCGUGAGUGAUGAAGCCUUCGGGUCGUAAAACUCUGUCCUAAGGGAAGAAGAAGUGACGGUACCUUAGGAGGAAGCCCCGGCUAACUACGUGCCACAGCCGCGGUAAUACGUAGGGGGCAAAGCGUUAUCCGGAAUCACUGGGCGUAAAGGUGCCUAGGCCGGCUGAUCAAGCCAGGGGUGAAAGGCAAUAGCUAACUAUUGUAAGCCUUUGAACUGGCACUUGAUGCAGGAAAGGAAAACGGAAUUCUAUGUACCGUGAAAUCCUA